Molecule: ribosomal RNA, 432 nt
Filed under: uncultured bacterium
Lineage: Bacteria
Description: bacterial SSU rRNA
Rfam family: Bacterial small subunit ribosomal RNA
Source: RNAcentral
AGCGAACGCUGGCGGCAGGCCUAAAACAUGCAAGUCGAACGCACUCUUCGGAGUGAGUGGCGGACGGGUGAGUAACGCGUGGGAACGUGCCCUUUGGUUCGGAACAACUCAGGGAAACUUGAGCUAAUACCGGAUGUGCCCUUCGGGGAAAGAUUUAUCGCCAUUGGAGCGGCCCGCGUUGGAUUAGGUAGUUGGUGGGGUAAAGGCCCACCAAGCCUACGAUCCAUAGCUGGUCUGAGAGGAUGAUCAGCCACAUUGGGACUGAGACACGGCCCAAACUCCUACGGGAGGCAGCAGUUAGGAAUCUUGGGCAAUGGGCGAAAGCCUGACCCAGCCAUGCCGCGUGAAUGAUGAAGGUCCUAGGAUUGUAAAAUUCUUUCACCGGGGAAGAUAAUGACGGUACCCGGAGAAGAAGCUCCGGCUAACUUCGUG